UACUACGUCGGCGACCGGCGCACGGGUGCGUAACGCGUAUGCAACCUACCCAUUACAGGGGGAGUAACACUGAGAAAUCGGUACUAAUACCCCAUAACAUCCAGGGAGGCAUCUUCUUGGGUUGAAAACUCCGGUGGUAAUGGAUGGGCAUGCGUUGUAUUAGUUAGUUGGUGGGGUAACGGCUCACCAAGACAACGAUACAUAGGGGGACUGAGAGGUUAACCCCCCCACAUUGGUACUGAGACACGGACCAAACUCCUACGGGAGGCAGCAG
This 274-nucleotide ribosomal RNA is filed under the name uncultured bacterium. Its description in RNAcentral is "partial 16S ribosomal RNA". It matches the Rfam family "Bacterial small subunit ribosomal RNA", at positions 81 to 354 of the family's 1533-position model. The record is from RNAcentral.